ACCUCGGGAAAAGGAUUGGCUCUGAGGGCUGGGCACGGGGGUCCCAGUCCCGAACCCGUCGGCUGUCGGUGGACUGCUCGAGCUGCUUCCGCGGCGAGAGCGGGUCGUCGCGUGCCGGUCGGUGGACGGAUUGGGAACGGGCCCUUCGGGGCCUCUUCCCCGGGCGUCGAACAGUCGACUCAGAACUGGUACGGACAAGGGGAAUCCGAC
RNAcentral lists this non-coding RNA (210 nucleotides) under Vigna angularis (adzuki bean). RNAcentral's name for it is "Eukaryotic large subunit ribosomal RNA". It matches the Rfam family "Eukaryotic large subunit ribosomal RNA", at positions 1933 to 2138 of the family's 3401-position model. Lineage: Eukaryota; Viridiplantae; Streptophyta; Magnoliopsida; Fabales; Fabaceae. The record is from Rfam by way of RNAcentral.